This 253-nucleotide ribosomal RNA is filed under the name uncultured bacterium. RNAcentral's name for it is "partial 16S ribosomal RNA". It matches the Rfam family "Bacterial small subunit ribosomal RNA", at positions 524 to 776 of the family's 1533-position model. The record is from RNAcentral.
UACGGGGGGGGCAAGCGUUGUUCGGAAUUACUGGGCGUAAAGUGUGCGCAGGCGGCCGCGCAAGUCGAGUGUGAAAUCCCCGAGCUUAACUUGGGAAUUGCGCUCGAAACUACGUGGCUGGAGUGUGGCAGAGGAAGGUGGAAUUCCACGUGUAGCGGUGAAAUGCGUAGAUAUCGGGAGGAACACCUAUGGCGAAGGCAGCUCGCUGGGACGUUACUGACGCUGAGACGCGAAAGCGUGGGGAGCAAACAGG